RNA transcript from Drosophila mojavensis, 1723 nucleotides. RefSeq lists it as uncharacterized. The transcript is spliced from 3 exons. NCBI's taxonomy places the organism in Eukaryota, Metazoa, Arthropoda, Insecta, Diptera, Drosophilidae. The record is from RefSeq and is a predicted model, not a curated record.
GCAGUCGUCAGCGACAAUCAGAGCUGUAAAGUCUAGCUAGAUACAUUUUUAUAUGUAUAUACAUAGUCCAACAGUUUUCUCUUGGCACCCAGCGUCGUAUAAAAGGCAACGAACUCCACAUAGGCAGCUCAGAAGCGUUUGAUAUCCGUAGAUACAGCUUGGUCAUCAUGCCCAAGCAAGGUUCCGACGCAAACUUGAAGGUACUGGCUGCUCCGGGCUGGCUCACCCGCGAAUAUGUCCAGCAGAGGCUGCGAAGCUACCUGAAAGAGUCGAAACUGCAGCUGCAGAAGCUACACAUACAGCCGGCCACGGCCAAUGGGGAGAACUAUGCGAGCGUCAUGACGAGGAUCAUCGUAGAGUACACGGACAAGGAUAUGUGCCAGCAUACAGACAACUUUAUAGUUAAGACCACGUUCGCCGACAAGGAUCCGGCUUCUCACUUGCUGGAACAAUAUGGCGUAUAUGUUCGUGAAAUGGACAUGUACGAGGAGGAGCUGCCCAAGCUGGCGAAGAUCAUUCAGCUGGAGCUGGGGGAUAGUCGGAAAAUGUUUGCUCGCACAGUGUAUGUGGAUCGGGAGCACGACUCGAUUGUGUUCGAGGACAUGUCCUUGGAGAAAUACUGUGUCGCGGAUCGCUUGAAGCAAUUGGAUCGGAAUCACACUCAGCUGGUGCUGGAAAAACUGGCGAAAUUUCAUGCCGCCGGAGCGGUGCUCAACGAGCGGCAGCCAGGGAUCUACGGCCAGAAAUACGAUCGCUGCUUCUUCAACAAACACACUCAGGCCUACAAGCCCAUUAUGCAGAAUAUGCUGAGAGCCCUAAUAACAUCCAUCGAGGAUGACAAGGCACUGCAUCAGCGCUACGCAGCUAAGCUGAGCGGAGUCAUCGAUCACAUUAUGGAAUACGGCGAGCGGACGAUGGAGUUAAGCAAGGGGGACUUUGCAACUCUCUGCCACGGCGAUCUAUGGACUACGAAUAUCAUGUUCAAUUACCUGAACGACGGCACGCCGGACAAUAUGAUCUUUAUAGACUUUCAGUUUAGCGUUUGGAGCUCGCCGGCUAUCGACCUGCACUACUUCUUCUGCACCUCGGUGCAGAACGAUCUCCAUAGGAAUCAUCAGGCCGAGCUAGUCCAGUUCUAUUACCAGAAUCUUGUGGAUGCAUUAACUAAACUGAAAUAUAAGGGCCAAGUGCCCAGCCUAUUUGAGUUUCAGCUGCAAUUUCAAGCGCGUGCCUUCUAUGGUGUUUUCUGCUCGUUGGUUUUCCUGGCGGCCAUGCUGCACAAUGGGCCCGAGGAGUUUUCCAUUGAAAAAGCGCUGUCGCCUUCUGAGGCCGAUGCGGCUGUGCGAGUUGCUGUCUAUAAAAACGAGCUAUACCGAAAGAAACUCAGAGAAAUCUUGCCCAUGCUUGAUCAUAAAGGAUUGCUCGAUGAGAUGUAAAUACAAUUGUUGUUAUUUAUAAAAGAGUAUUAGUCUAGAAUAAACAAGUCAAAAUUCCUUUGUGCAAACAACUUGUCUUAAAAUCGAAUUUGCAGACUUCAUUUGAGAGCGUGAUAUUGACAUGGAGAUGGGUAUACUUGCCAACGCACAAACUUAUAUUAUUUCAAAUCCAGUUUGUAUAAAUUAGGUCUGCAGAAUAUAUGUAUCUUUGCACCUUGUUGAAUUCUAGAAUUAAAAUAUGCUUACAAAUCGAAAUAAAGAUAUCGAUUUUUAUCGAUAAUAACGAA